CAGCCGCCGCGGUAAUACGUAGGUGGCAAGCGUUGUCCGGAAUUAUUGGGCGUAAAGGGCUCGCAGGCGGUUUCUUAAGUCUGAUGUGAAAGCCCCCGGCUCAACCGGGGAGGGUCAUUGGAAACUGGGAAACUUGAGUGCAGAAGAGGAGAGUGGAAUUCCACGUGUAGCGGUGAAAUGCGUAGAGAUGUGGAGGAACACCAGUGGCGAAGGCGACUCUCUGGUCUGUAACUGACGCUGAGGAGCGAAAGCGUGGGGAGCAAACAGGAUUAGAUACCCCGUAGUCCCUGUCUCUUAUACA
RNAcentral lists this ribosomal RNA (301 nucleotides) under uncultured bacterium. RNAcentral describes it as "partial 16S ribosomal RNA". It matches the Rfam family "Bacterial small subunit ribosomal RNA", at positions 509 to 808 of the family's 1533-position model. The record is from RNAcentral.